AACUGAUACUACCUGCGGGAACCUGCGGAGGGAUCAUUACCGAGUUAUACAACUCCCAAACCCACUGUGAACCUUACCUCAGUUGCCUCGGCGGGAACGCCCCGGCCGCCUGCCCCCGCGCCGGCGCCGGACCCAGGCGCCCGCCGCAGGGACCCCAAACUCUCUUGCAUUACGCCCAGCGGGCGGAAUUUCUUCUCUGAGUUGCACAAGCAAAAACAAAUGAAUCAAAACUUUUAGCAA
Molecule: unclassified non-coding RNA, 240 nt
Filed under: soil metagenome
Description: partial contains 5.8S ribosomal RNA, internal transcribed spacer 2, and large subunit ribosomal RNA
Source: RNAcentral